AGGUAGGAUACAGAAGGAUAUUUAAUGUAUAUUAUCUGUAAGCAACAAUAAAACCAUUAUAAAUGAUUAAACGAUUCUAAGCGGAGUUCAAUUGAUAGUGAUGCUUUGUCAACAAUAUAUAUAUAUAUGUCAUAUUAUGGUAAAAUAAUUAAAUAGAUAGUAUAUAUUUUCUUUAAUAAUAUUUGUUUAAUAUUUUACCGAUUUUCCCGUUUUUUCUACGUUUUUCCCGGUUUUCCGUGUUUUUCUGGUUUUUUAAAUUUGUUGAGAAAACUUCCAAGAAAAUUAAAAAAUGGCCUCUCUAAAGUAUUUCUCCAAGAACAUUUAAUUUUGGAAAAGAAUCUACAUCGUAUACAUCGAAGUAAGCUUUCUAGC
Molecule: non-coding RNA, 372 nt
Organism: Cinara cedri
Lineage: Eukaryota; Metazoa; Arthropoda; Insecta; Hemiptera; Aphididae
Source: the annotation of a GenBank genome assembly